CCUACGGGACGCAGCAGUGAGGAAUAUUGGUCAAUGGGCGGAAGCCUGAACCAGCCAAGUCGCGUGAGGGAAUAAGGCCCUACGGGUUGUAAACCUCUUUUGCCGGGGAGCAAUGCCGGGGACGUGUCCCGGCCCGGAGAGUACCCGGAGAAUAAGCAUCGGCUAACUCCGUGCCAGCAGCCGCGGUAAUACGGAGGAUGCGAGCGUUAUCCGGAUCUAUUGGGUUUAAAGGGUGCGUAGGCGGGCUUUUAAGUCAGUGGUAAAAUUUCCGG
RNAcentral lists this ribosomal RNA (272 nucleotides) under uncultured bacterium. RNAcentral's name for it is "partial 16S ribosomal RNA". It matches the Rfam family "Bacterial small subunit ribosomal RNA", at positions 338 to 606 of the family's 1533-position model. The record is from RNAcentral.